RNAcentral lists this ribosomal RNA (292 nucleotides) under uncultured bacterium. Its description in RNAcentral is "partial 16S ribosomal RNA". The record is from RNAcentral.
GGACUACAGGGGUAUCUAAUCCUGUUUGCUCCCCACGCUUUCGUGUCUCAGCGUCAGUAUCUGUCCAGUUGGCCGCCUUCGCCACCGGUGUUCCUCUCGAUAUCUACGAAUUUCACCUCUACACCGAGAAUUCCACCAACCUCUCCAGUACUCGAGCCAUACAGUAUCGAGUGCACUUCCAGGGUUGAGCCCUGGGCUUUCACAUCCGACUUAUAUGGCCGCCUACACACGCUUUACGCCCAGUAAUUCCGAACAACGUUUGCACCCUCUGUCUUACCGCGGCUGCUGGCAC